GAAAUGCGAUACGUAGUGUGAAUUGCAGACUCCAGUGAAUCAUCGAAUCUUUGAACGCACAUUGCGCCCACUGGUAUUCCGGUGGGCAUGCCUGUCUGAGCGUCAGUAUAAUCUCAAGCUAACCCUUGGUAUUGGAGGAUGAUCUGCCUAGCAGUUCACUUCUUAAACUGAUUGGCAAGUUUACAUAGCAGCAAGCGUAGUAGAAAUACAACAAGCUUAGUUACUGUGUUUGGCUUUGUCAAAAUCAAACUAUUUUUAAGGUUUGACCUCAGAUCAGGUAAGGAUACCCCCUGAACUUAA
This 300-nucleotide unclassified non-coding RNA is filed under the name uncultured fungus. Its description in RNAcentral is "sequence contains ITS1". The stretch from base 1 to 105 matches the Rfam family "5.8S ribosomal RNA", at positions 50 to 154 of the family's 154-position model. The record is from RNAcentral. Lineage: Eukaryota; Fungi.